UGGCGCUUGUUACGAUGCGCUGGAGGUGGGCAGGAUAAGACUAUAAUCAACCAGAUUAUGCUCAGAUUCAGGCCGAUUGCACCGAAACCAGCCAGCGGUGCUCCGGAUGCCGAUAAUUCUUCUUUUAAUAACAAGAAGCUAUUGCUUUCCACUCGAAGAACCAAGAGAAAGUACGUUAGGGUUAGUAAGAACAACAGAUUGAUCAAAAGAAACCAAAAAUUUUCAUCAUCUGAUCAAGGAAAUAAAGAAAAAGAAAUAGAUCAUGGAGGUUUUGACAAGGUCGUUACUCUGCAAUUGUUGCCGGAAAGAAGCGAUCAGUUAAAGAAAUCACCAGAAAGAGGGAGAUCCUGGUGCAAUAUUGAUCUCACAGAAAAAUUAUUUCAUGAUCCAGAGAAUAAUAACAAUAAUCAAGCGGCAUCCAUGCGGCUCAAGUUGAAACAGCCGGUUAUCGACGGGGUAGAUCAGACGGUGGCGAUGGU
RNAcentral lists this long non-coding RNA (479 nucleotides) under Manihot esculenta (cassava). RNAcentral's name for it is "long non-coding RNA (MESC_LNC010485)". Lineage: Eukaryota; Viridiplantae; Streptophyta; Magnoliopsida; Malpighiales; Euphorbiaceae. The record is from RNAcentral.